CACCAAACCAAGGCUCAAAUGUGUCCAGAAGGGACCUUCCCCGGGGAAAGUUACCUGCCUUCUGUUAGGAUUUUCACUGGGAUAUUUUUAGAUGUUUCUAAGGAAAUUCGUUGAACGUUGUGACCAAGUAGGCAGAUCUCUCAGAGGCGUUUUGCUGGCUGCUACUAAACUGGGAAUUUUUCAUUUAGUGUUUAGGCAUCCAAGGGGUCACACUGACCCUUAGGGGAGCUGACUUCAUUUGCCUGCAGCUCUUCAGCCUUUCAUUUUCUUCCUGUCAGCAAGGAUCGAGUGAACCCUUCUCUGUUCCUAAUUUGAUUCCUCUGUCUCCUAGCUCCCUUCUUCUUGAACCUGCUGGGCCCCCAGUGACCACUCCCCCGGGGUUUCAGGCCGCCUUUGACUCAGCAGUACUGGGACUUCAGAGUCCAGAUCAUUAGGAUGCCAUGCCCAGCAAGGCACAGUGGCUAACACACCUUAAUCCCAACAACUCCAGGGGCUGGGGCAGGAGGAUUGCAAUUUCGAGACCACCUGGGCAAUUUAGGGAGACUAUAUCUCAUAAAAAGGGCUGGGGCUGUGGUUCAGUGGUGCGGUUCCCCUAGGUUCAAUCCCCAGUAUCACAAAAGAAAAAAAAAACAAAAACGUAGGAGCGUGGCCAUGCUCCUGCCUUAUUUUGAGAUGCUGACUUUCAGACCCCAGCUGGUGCUAUGAGGAGACUGGCAGGAGUGGAUGGAUCCCUGUACACCUGCAGUCUGGGACUACAACUCCUGGGAGACAGGCAGGGCUUUCUAAGAUCAUCAAGAUGAGGUUAUUCCAGACUGGGAUGGCCCCUAAUCCCAGAUGAUUGAUGUCUUUGUAAGAAGAGCGUUUUAAACUCAGAGGUAGAAGACCACGUGGAAAUGGAGAUGAGAGUGAGAUAGCUCCAACUGAAGGACCUCAGGGAUCCUGAAGAUUUAAUAGCUUGGAAAAGGCAGGAAGGAGUCUCCCCUAGUCUUCAGAGAGUGUGUGGCCCUGCUGACACUGAGACCUCAGAUUUCUG
Molecule: long non-coding RNA, 1033 nt
Filed under: Marmota monax (woodchuck)
Lineage: Eukaryota; Metazoa; Chordata; Mammalia; Rodentia; Sciuridae
Source: RNAcentral